Molecule: long non-coding RNA, 349 nt
Organism: Mesocricetus auratus (golden hamster)
Lineage: Eukaryota; Metazoa; Chordata; Mammalia; Rodentia; Cricetidae
Exons: 3
Source: RefSeq, a predicted model, not a curated record
CAUUGAGGUUUUAUAUACUCAAGCUAUGCCCAGUGUGAUAUACAGUUUACUUAACUACUGCUGGAAGAUCAAGAUGUAUAAGUCUCAGCUCCUCCUGCACAUCUGUUGUAUGCCAUCUACCAUGAUGACAAUGGACUAAACCUCUGAAAUUGUUCUCAGCGACUGCUCCAUUGCCAGGCUUGCCUGCCAGCUGCCAUGCUUGCUACCAUGAUGGUCAUGGACUUAGCCAUCUGAAACUCAUAUACUGAAGACCAGCUGAGACAUUCGGCCUUGUGGAUCGAUCAACUACUGGAUUCUUGGACUUUCUGUUCACAGCAGACAUUGUUGGAUUAUCUGGACUGCUACUUGU